This is a long non-coding RNA of Leptopilina heterotoma, 876 nucleotides long. RefSeq lists it as uncharacterized. The transcript has 3 exons. The record is from RefSeq and is a predicted model, not a curated record. Lineage: Eukaryota; Metazoa; Arthropoda; Insecta; Hymenoptera; Figitidae.
AAUAGCGAAUUUCACUUCUGAAUUAGUGAAAAUUUCGCUAUUUGAUCAGUGAAUGUAGUUGUCACUGGAAAAUAGUGAAUCCCACUUUUGAAUUAGUGAAAAUUGCGUCUGCGCAUAAAUCCACUGUCUCUCGUCGUUUAGUUGCGUCUUGUUGACAGUGAAACUCGUGAGUGAAUCGUUUAAACCGAGGAAAUUGAUAAUUUGUGAGGAGAUUUAUAAUUAAAGAUUACAUUUUAUUAUUCACCGAAAAAUAUCAUAAAAUAAGAAGGAAGGGCUCGAUACACGUUUAAAAUAAUAAUUAAUUUCUGCAAAUAUAAAUUCAAUGACUGAGGAAAAUAAUUACGAAGACGAGUUAAGAAAGUUUGGCGUUUCGGAAGAAACAUUGUCUACUUUGAGAGGAGGGGACUAACUUGCCUUAUUCAGUCAAGGAAUCGGCUUUGAAGUCAAACACGGCUGUUCAGCCAUAUAUUUUGUGCACCAAAGGACAAAAUGGGUGCAACACUUAUUUUGUCCAAGGAGAUGGCUUCUUUCUCAAACCUUCAAACAAUGAACCAGUGAAUGCUUUCGAUUUGUUGUUUAAAGUUUACUUCGCGUUAAAUUUAUGCUAUCCCAUUGGUUUACAAAAUUUUUUUAAUUUUAUGGACAGUUAUGUCUACGAGGUAAAUAAUGAACCUCGUGGCAUUGUUACAUCAUUUCACGUAAAUUUAACUAAUUUAACAUUAGACGAAACUACUGAAGGCAUGAAUCUCUCAGAUAAUUAGUGCAACACUUGUCAUCAUUCGUUCGAUUAUAUAAUUUUUAUUUCUUUGCACUAUUUCAGUAAUUAUAUUUCCUAUAAAUGUAAAUUUACAAAUAAAAUUUGUAUUUUUCUUUAAA